AGGUCAACAACAUGCAACCAGAGAUCGAGGUUAACACCUGAAGAUUGACAAAUUCUUUACUAUGAUUGGAUACUCCUCGACGGGGGAUGAUCCUUGAGGGCGUGGUCUCUCUCCCUCUGUGAACUGAGAUGGCUCGUCACAUAUCUACAAGGACAUGAGCAUCUGCUUCAAACGCACAGCAGGAGGAACAGAGGAGAAGUGCACAGCUGCCUGACAACCCCCGAUGAUGACAUCCUCAAACACUCCCCUGCACUCUGCAGACACACCCAGCACUCACUGCAGCUUAAGCAACUUUUUCCAAGUUACAGAGGUGGACCGGAGGCUUGAAAGUUGCUGCUUCAAAUCCCUUCACAUACAGG
Seriola aureovittata is the source of this 359-nucleotide long non-coding RNA. RefSeq lists it as uncharacterized. Lineage: Eukaryota; Metazoa; Chordata; Actinopteri; Carangiformes; Carangidae. The transcript is spliced from 4 exons. The record is from RefSeq and is a predicted model, not a curated record.